This 2270-nucleotide ribosomal RNA is filed under the name Cronobacter turicensis. RNAcentral describes it as "partial 23S ribosomal RNA". It matches the Rfam family "Bacterial large subunit ribosomal RNA", at positions 676 to 2925 of the family's 2925-position model. Lineage: Bacteria; Pseudomonadati; Pseudomonadota; Gammaproteobacteria; Enterobacterales; Enterobacteriaceae. The record is from RNAcentral.
ACCGAGUCUUAAUUGGGCGUUAAGUUGCAGGGUAUAGACCCGAAACCCGGUGAUCUAGCCAUGGGCAGGUUGAAGGUUGGGUAACACUAACUGGAGGACCGAACCGACUAAUGUUGAAAAAUUAGCGGAUGACCUGUGGCUGGGGGUGAAAGGCCAAUCAAACCGGGAGAUAGCUGGUUCUCCCCGAAAGCUAUUUAGGUAGCGCCUCGUGAACUCAUCUCCGGGGGUAGAGCACUGUUUCGGCUAGGGGGCCAUCCCGGCUUACCAACCCGAUGCAAACUGCGAAUACCGGAGAAUGUUAUCACGGGAGACACACGGCGGGUGCUAACGUCCGUCGUGAAGAGGGAAACAACCCAGACCGCCAGCUAAGGUCCCAAAGUCAUGGUUAAGUGGGAAACGAUGUGGGAAGGCCCAGACAGCCAGGAUGUUGGCUUAGAAGCAGCCAUCAUUUAAAGAAAGCGUAAUAGCUCACUGGUCGAGUCGGCCUGCGCGGAAGAUGUAACGGGGCUAAACCAUGCACCGAAGCUGCGGCAGCGACACUAUGUGUUGUUGGGUAGGGGAGCGUUCUGUAAGCCGUCGAAGGUGUGCUGUGAGGCAUGCUGGAGGUAUCAGAAGUGCGAAUGCUGACAUAAGUAACGAUAAAGCGGGUGAAAAGCCCGCUCGCCGGAAGACCAAGGGUUCCUGUCCAACGUUAAUCGGGGCAGGGUGAGUCGACCCCUAAGGCGAGGCCGAAAGGCGUAGUCGAUGGGAAACAGGUUAAUAUUCCUGUACUUGGUGUUACUGCGAAGGGGGGACGGAGAAGGCUAUGUUGGCCGGGCGACGGUUGUCCCGGUUUAAGCGUGUAGGCUGACUUUCCAGGCAAAUCCGGAAAGUUAAGGCUGAGGCGUGAUGACGAGGCACUACGGUGCUGAAGUGACAAAUGCCCUGCUUCCAGGAAAAGCCUCUAAGCAUCAGGUAACAUCAAAUCGUACCCCAAACCGACACAGGUGGUCAGGUAGAGAAUACCAAGGCGCUUGAGAGAACUCGGGUGAAGGAACUAGGCAAAAUGGUGCCGUAACUUCGGGAGAAGGCACGCUGACAUGUAGGUGAAGCCCCUGCGGGUGGAGCUGAAGUCAGUCGAAGAUACCAGCUGGCUGCAACUGUUUAUUAAAAACACAGCACUGUGCAAACACGAAAGUGGACGUAUACGGUGUGACGCCUGCCCGGUGCCGGAAGGUUAAUUGAUGGGGUUAUCGCAAGAGAAGCUCCUGAUCGAAGCCCCGGUAAACGGCGGCCGUAACUAUAACGGUCCUAAGGUAGCGAAAUUCCUUGUCGGGUAAGUUCCGACCUGCACGAAUGGCGUAAUGAUGGCCAGGCUGUCUCCACCCGAGACUCAGUGAAAUUGAACUCGCUGUGAAGAUGCAGUGUACCCGCGGCAAGACGGAAAGACCCCGUGAACCUUUACUACAGCUUGACACUGAACAUUGAGCCUUGAUGUGUAGGAUAGGUGGGAGGCUUUGAAGCGUGGACGCCAGUCUGCGUGGAGCCAACCUUGAAAUACCACCCUUUAAUGUUUGAUGUUCUAACCUGGCGCCGUGAUCCGGCGUGGGGACAGUGUCUGGUGGGUAGUUUGACUGGGGCGGUCUCCUCCCAAAGUGUAACGGAGGAGCACGAAGGUCAGCUAAUCCUGGUCGGACAUCAGGAGGUUAGUGCAAUGGCAUAAGCUGGCUUGACUGCGAGAGUGACGGCUCGAGCAGGUGCGAAAGCAGGUCAUAGUGAUCCGGUGGUUCUGUAUGGAAGGGCCAUCGCUCAACGGAUAAAAGGUACUCCGGGGAUAACAGGCUGAUACCGCCCAAGAGUUCAUAUCGACGGCGGUGUUUGGCACCUCGAUGUCGGCUCAUCACAUCCUGGGGCUGAAGUAGGUCCCAAGGGUAUGGCUGUUCGCCAUUUAAAGUGGUACGCGAGCUGGGUUUAGAACGUCGUGAGACAGUUCGGUCCCUAUCUGCCGUGGGCGCUGGAGAAUUGAGGGGGGCUGCUCCCAGUACGAGAGGACCGGAGUGGACGCAUCACUGGUGUUCGGGUUGUCAUGCCAAUGGCACUGCCCGGUAGCUAAAUGCGGAAGAGAUAAGUGCUGAAAGCAUCUAAGCACGAAACUUGCCCCGAGAUGAGUUCUCCCUGAGACUAUAAGUCUCCUGAAGGAACGUUGAAGACGACGACGUUGAUAGGCCGGGUGUGUAAGCGCAGCGAUGCGUUGAGCUAACCGGUACUAAUGAACCGUGAGGCUUAACCUU